UACGGGGGGGGUAAGCGUUGUUCGGAAUUACUGGGCGUAAAGGGCUCGUAGGCGGCCUCGCAAGUCAGGUGUGAAAUCCCAGGGCUUAACCCUGGAACUGCAUCUGAUACUGCUUGGCUUGAAUCUCGGAGAGGGUGGUGGAAUUCCUGGUGUAGAGGUGAAAUUCGUAGAUAUCAGGAGGAACACCGGUGGCGAAGGCGACCACCUGGACGAUGAUUGACGCUGAGGCGCGAAAGCGUGGGAAGCAAACAGG
RNAcentral lists this ribosomal RNA (253 nucleotides) under uncultured bacterium. Its description in RNAcentral is "partial 16S ribosomal RNA". It matches the Rfam family "Bacterial small subunit ribosomal RNA", at positions 524 to 776 of the family's 1533-position model. The record is from RNAcentral.